This 197-nucleotide unclassified non-coding RNA is filed under the name uncultured bacterium. RNAcentral describes it as "16S-23S ribosomal RNA intergenic spacer". The record is from RNAcentral.
CUAAGGAAUAAUACGGAAACUGCACAUAUCGAAACAUUAUUCAGUUUUGAGAGAUCUACGCUCUCAAAACUUGUUCUUUGAAAACUAGAUAAUAAUUUAUUUCUUAAUAAACCGAGAACACCGCGUUUUUAAGAGUUUUAACAAGAAUCAAAGUUCUUAAUCGCUAAACUCAUAGAACCAACUGAAAGAUCAGUUAA